ACUUUGUGAGUUUGUCCGCUGCCA
This 24-nucleotide non-coding RNA is filed under the name Arabidopsis thaliana (thale cress). Lineage: Eukaryota; Viridiplantae; Streptophyta; Magnoliopsida; Brassicales; Brassicaceae. The record is from RNAcentral.